RNAcentral lists this ribosomal RNA (406 nucleotides) under uncultured bacterium. RNAcentral describes it as "bacterial SSU rRNA". It matches the Rfam family "Bacterial small subunit ribosomal RNA", at positions 30 to 433 of the family's 1533-position model. The record is from RNAcentral.
AUUGAACGCUGGCGGCAGGCCUAACACAUGCAAGUCGAGCGGUAGAGAGGUGCUUGCAUCUCUUGAGAGCGGCGGACGGGUGAGUAAUGCCUAGGAAUCUGCCUAGUGGUGGGGGAUAACGUUCGGAAACGGACGCUAAUACCGCAUACGUCCUACGGGAGAAAGCGGGGGGAGUCUUCGGACCUCGCGCCAUUAGAUGAGCCUAGGUCGGAUUAGCUAGUUGGUGAGGUAAUGGCUCACCAAGGCGACGAUCCGUAACUGGUCUGAGAGGAUGAUCAGUCACACUGGAACUGAGACACGGUCCAGACUCCUACGGGAGGCAGCAGUGGGGGAAUAUUGGACAAUGGGCGAAAGCCUGAUCCAGCCAUGCCGCGUGUGUGAAGAAGGUCUUCGGAUUGUAAAGCAC